This 89-nucleotide non-coding RNA is filed under the name Arsenophonus endosymbiont of Trialeurodes vaporariorum. Lineage: Bacteria; Pseudomonadati; Pseudomonadota; Gammaproteobacteria; Enterobacterales; Morganellaceae. The record is from RNAcentral.
AAUAAUGGUGGGACGUAGCGGGGGGGCUGAAAAGCUCGCCGGAUUUCUUGUUGACCGGUCUUGCAGCCCUGUUACGUCUCGCCACCAUG